Molecule: ribosomal RNA, 468 nt
Filed under: uncultured bacterium
Lineage: Bacteria
Description: partial 16S ribosomal RNA
Rfam family: Bacterial small subunit ribosomal RNA
Source: RNAcentral
GACGAACGCUGGCGGCGUGCUUAACACAUGCAAGUCGAACGGAAAGGCCCUGCUUUUGUGGGGUGCUCGAGUGGCGAACGGGUGUGAAACACGUGUGUAACCUCCUCCUGACUUUGGGAUAACUUCAGGAAACUGGGGAUAAUACCGGAUAGGAGCUCCUGCUGCAGGGUGGGGGUUGGAAAGUUUCGGCGGUUGGGGACGGACUCGCGGCUUGUCAGCUGGUUGGUGGGGUAGUGGCCUACCAAGGCAUUGACGGGUGGCCGGCCUGGGGGGGUGACCGGCCACAUUGGGCUUGGGAUACGGCCCAGACUCCUACGGGAGGCGGCAGUGGGGAAUAUGGCACAAGGGGCGGAGGCCUGAUGCAGCAACGCGGCGUGCGGGAUGACGGCCUUCGGGUUGUAAACCGCUUUCGCCUGUGACGAAGCGUGAGUGACGGUAAUGGGUAAAGAAGCACCGGCUAACUACGUG